GAUUCAAAAUAAUAAUCAGGAUUUCACCAUGACAUAAUAAUGCCACGGAUUGAGCCGUCAAAUCCAUGGUUAUUAUAAAAAAUCACAUUGCUUACAAAUGGUAGAGGCGGUGCUAACCAGUACAUUGCAUGAGAGAAAAGGUAUGUUAAAUUUAAAUUUAAAAGCUAGUGUAAGAAAAUAACCAAUGGGUAUUUAGUUUUCAACAAGGGGUGCACAUUGUUGUAUAACAGUCCACGACCAAGCUUAUAUAUAAGUUGGGUCGUUCGGUAGGGUUUAUUAUUCUUUCUCAAAAAAGAGCAAGAACUUCGUCCGGAGUAAACAAAACCUUUCAUCCUCUGCGUUCGGAGAUGGUGUGAAAACUUGAGACCGGAGGUUCAUCAAUAAACGGAGAUGGCAUCCGUCGCCAGCAAAGACGUUUUCUGCGGAAGAGGCCGGGAGAUCAUAGAUCUCACGCAAGACGACGACGAGUUCGUGACACCUCCGGCAACAAGACGUCGCAUGAACCCGACAACCAACCCUCGUACUCCAUCGUUCCGAUAAUACGUCCAUUGGUAACAAGUCGAAAUGCUGAAAGAUUACCACAAGAUAAAAGACAUCGUAAGUAGAAACAUUUUGAUAGAAAUCGACUAAAAAAGGUAAGAAUAAGAUUUCGUUGACAAGCGAACAACAAAAUUGAAACAUCAACGACAAAAAUGUCUAUUUUAACAAUUGAUAUACUGGAUGAAUAAGAAAUACUGAUUUGAAAAGUAAUUACUGGAUGAACGACAUUGCCUAUUAAAUUGAAAAGUAAAUACUAACUAAAGAAAACAUAAAUUGGGAAAAACAAUUUUAGGAGAAAAAAAAUUUUAGGAUAUCAAGAACAUAUACUAACAAAAUUGAACUUCAUAUGAUUACGAUAAACGAGGAUAACUGUUUACCUAAAAACACAAGUCAUCCAAUUGAUUUAAAAAACUCUAUUACAAAUGCUGUGUUUAGCAAAGGCUGAAAAUAAGCAAAAUAAUCAACGUAAAAAAUCGAAGUUGAAAAUUAACUGGAGAAACAAAUUACUUUCUGUUUUGCAACCGAAAUAAAAUGAAGAAUGGGAAAUAAAUGAAAAUAAUAGACAUUAACCUAAAUUAGAAUAUAGAUUGAAAAGUACAAAAAUUACAGUCUAGACUAUAACCAAUGCAAAUCUUCCCAAAACUUGACGGAAAACCAAAGCUCGCAUAAUUCAUUCAGAACGUUAACAAAAUGAGCUCCUUCGAUGAACAACUCAGUUAUCGACUAACCAGUUCGAAAUGGAAAGGAAAAAAGGAAUAGUCGACGAAAGUAUGUUAUUGUUAAAUAUAAGAAUCGCAGAACGCAAAACGAAAAAGAACGACAACAAAGACAGACAAACAAAGUGGUCAAAUAUCGAGUAAAAUACAUGAACAAAGAAUGCAGAAUAAGACUAAAUAUGUUAUUGUAGAAUCCCAAAAAUGCUCAAGGCAUAAGAGAAACAAGUAAUGAAAAAGGUAAAGAAAUAUUGGGAGGACAAAGAAGGACGACAACAGCCAGACUCUCCAACAGAAAAUCAAAAUCUCAAAACCCUGAGUAUUGGAGAAGAACGAAAGCAACGGAAAAGAGAAAAAGCCGACGACAAACACAAUAGAACAACAAAAGAACCAUGUACUUACAGUAUAAAACAGAACAGAAGAACAACGGAACAAAUAGUAUCAUGAAUAGUGAGGACGAAGAACAAACUAACAAUGACAAAUAUAUUUCAAGAUAGGUUCAGGUUUGGAGAGGUUGAGGAAUGGGUUAUUGGGUGUAAAUGAGAUUUCUAUCGUUAGGUUGGAGGAAGAAGAAGAGGGUCUUCGUUUGAUCGUUCAAAAACGAUGGGAGGG
This 1865-nucleotide long non-coding RNA is filed under the name Zostera marina. RNAcentral describes it as "long non-coding RNA (ZMAR_LNC003976)". Lineage: Eukaryota; Viridiplantae; Streptophyta; Magnoliopsida; Alismatales; Zosteraceae. The record is from RNAcentral.